GAAGGAGAGAGGGAAAGAGGGAAAGAGACAGAGAGAAGGAGAUCGGGAGUGAGUGGAGGGUGGUAAACUGAAUCUCGCUAGACGCCGCGGGACUAAAUCAGUUUGCAGGCUCCUUUCUUUCAAGUCCUUCUUUUCGUUCUGGGUGUGCAUGUCGCUGCUAAACUGCAACUCAAAUAUUGUCGACCGCCUCGUUUGAUCUUUCCUCUCACCAAUCCGCUGAAUGUUGCCUUGGCAGUGUCAACGUGCUGAACCCACGCCCAUUAUUCCCUUCGCCGUAAAGUUCUCUGCCAACACGCGUGGCGAUAAUCAUCUAUUGGAUGGUAAAGCAGGAACUGUGAAACCCAAACAAGUAUAUAAUUGGCCAUUUGGUUUGUCAUUCCGUUGGGAUCAUUGUCUCUGGCUUUCAGCUUUUCCGUAUUUGAAAUAUUAAUCGUGACGACCGCAGACAGAUAAGCAUUUGCAUCUGCGUCCCUUCCGAGCGUUGCUAAACUUGCUGUUAUAAGACGUCCUCACCGAGAGCCACAUACGUAACCAUCGAGGAAUCCGAGUCGACAUAUAAGACGCUAAGAUUUAUGGUUGUGCAUUAUGCUCUUUUGGGGAGAAAAAAAAAAACGCUGCCAGCUUCGUUUUGACACUUAUGAAGCUGACCUUAACGUUUAUGUUCAGCCACGGAUGCUGGCUGAGCGUCAUAAAGUCAUGAUGUCGGGGGCCCCAAUGUUCCUUUGACGCCAGAACCAAAGCGACCGAGACUGUUCACUUGUUACUCAUUUUCCGACGAAUCGGCGUUUGGGAAAGCGCUCGGAAGGCUAGAGUUUGAAUUUAUCCUCACCCGACUGUAGCGCAUAGUUUGAUGAACCGAGGUUGAAUUCGACCUCAAGCAGUCUAGUGACACACACAACGACAAGAGAUGCAAACAAAAAAAUGCCUUUACAAGAACUCCAAAUCCAGUUGAAUACCGCCCGACGAUCUAAUACAAAAAAUUUUCAGUUCCUGCGAUUCCUUGUUCGUCCGCGUCCUUGACAGAGAGCAUGUUUUCGCCAAAUGUCCAUCACCUACAGUAUAGUUUCCACUCCUUACUUUUGAGUCAACGCUCGAUGAUUGUGUUGAACGCAUAUCCAUCACGUCACGCUACGAUUCUAAAUACUUUUAUCCUGUUAGCCGUCAACAUUUUUGCACAACAAUAGUUGUUGGUCAGCGCGCCGGAAACGCUAAUAACGAUGCGUUUGGACUUCUUAUGCAGUUUGUCCUGAUCAGAUAACCCAGCACAUUAAAAUGCCUGAAAUUUUAUGGCUACAUACGUAAAUAGAGGUAGAAUGCAAGUGCCACGAUCUUAGUGUUUGCGCUCUAUGGUCAAUAAUAUCGUUUGACGUGUUUACCAAUAACAAGCGGGAUUUCAGCGAAACAGUAUUGGUGGGAUAAUUAUACCAGGUUAUACAGUGGGACUGAAUUUUGAGUGAAUUAACGCAAAAAAAAAAAUUAAUAUUUAUUAUCCUUACAGAG
Molecule: long non-coding RNA, 1500 nt
Organism: Daphnia magna
Lineage: Eukaryota; Metazoa; Arthropoda; Branchiopoda; Diplostraca; Daphniidae
Exons: 2
Source: RefSeq, a predicted model, not a curated record